CUCCCGGCAUCUCACUGGCGAAAGCAGCGGGCUGGGCAAGAGCGGAGCCGGUGAAGAAUGCCCCCAUCCCCCCCGCGCCGCAGUGAUAAAUAACUAAACGCCACGAGGCAGAGAACCCCUUCUUGGUUGGGAGCGUGGGAGAAGAAGUGGAGGAGAUCUGGCGUCCUGGACUGCACGGGUUCCGGGGUGAUGGGUGAGGAGCUGGAGAGAAGAGCAUAGUGCAGAAUCAGCUAGGUUGGAAAAGAUCUCUGAGACCAUCAAGUCCUGUCUUAUGACCGAGCACCACCAUGUGAAAGUAACCGUGACACUAAGUGCCACGUCCAGUCUUUUCUCAAACGCCUCCAGGGAUGGUGACUGCACAGCAGCAGCUCCUCACACGCCUUCCUUUGAAGCAGUCCCAGCAUCCUGAUUUCCCGUGCGCAUUGCAAAGUCCUCCCUUUCAGCACGUGAUGGAAUACAUUUAGAUUCAUUGUGUUACUUGCUGGCUUGUAUUCCAUGGGAGGUGGCAGUGGCAGUUGGUUUGGAUAUUUUGAAUGAAUGGCACGGGUAUGUAACAUGCAUUACCAACACUUUUUAUGUUACAGAGGCAAAAUGCCACUCCUAUACUAUAAAAUAAUUCUCCAAUAUGUUAGAAUAGCGAUCUGAAGUUACUUGCUUCAUUGUUAAAAAAGCUUACUUGAGGACUUCCUGGGGCUUUCCUGAAAAAUUUUGGAUUAAUGAGAUACUAAGAUCCUGCUUUUACUUAAAAGGGAACAAUAAAGACAAGGGAAAAAAAAAAGCAGGGGGCAGGCGGAUAAAAGGAGGAGAAAAGAAGAAAAUCAGUAACAUUUUGAUUUGGUUUGUACAGUUAUUAAUUCUUCAGGAAAAAAAAAUUAUCUAACAGUCUUUUAUUCCCAGAGUGCUUAAUUGGCACUCUGCCUUAAGUGAACCAGAAAAUUGCUCACUUGGAAUGAGAACUGGAAAAAUAGCACAGUUAAACCCAGUGACUUGAGACAAGAAAAAUCUCUAGUGCUGCAGUAUCUUUUUGGUAGUCCAGUUAACCAAUAUCUGGUUCUUGCAGGACACAUGCUAUAGAAACAGUUGCCUUCUGACCCAGUAUACCAACCAGAGCCUGUGCACUGGAAACCAGUGAUUUUUGCAAUAAGAGAAGUGAUUAUAAUGAGGUAGGGGAAGAAGUCAACACCCUUAAAAGUAGAAUAAAACCUCGCUGUUCAGAGCAAGGUCUUUGUGAAGUAGUUGUGGCUUCUAUCACUAUUUAAUAGCCAUACACGGGUGAUUUUAUUGGGCAGGAAAGAUGAAAGGAAGGUCCUGAUAAAUGAGGGCAAGAACUUUGGAAGAAAAGCUGACAGCAUGUAUAAUUGCAAUUUUGAAAUGAGAAAAUAAAGGCAGCUCACCUGAGUGCUUAUAAGAGUCAAAGACCAUACAGGAUAGUGAGGGACUGAGCUCAGUUUGGUUGGGAUUUUUUUUCAGUAAUGUUCACCUCCUAGAAGAAACCUGUAUGUCUCAGAACAGUUGUUCCCUGAGUUCUCCUUGCACUAAGCAGGGUGAGUAUUCUAGAAAUACGCUGUAAUUAUUGUAAAACUAAACUGCCCCAUGCAUCUGGGGUCUCAAAGUAUUUCUCUUACUGCUUCUUUCUGUGGAGCAGAGACUUGGAAAAAGCCAGGCAGCCCAUCCUCACUGCCUUGGCAUGUGAGGUGAAUGCUUCCUUCUGUGCCUGGUCGCUGUGCCCACAGUGGAUAAUACCUGUGUGAAUGGUCUCAUAGUUGGUAGGGCUUGUCAACAAGAGGUCAGAAAGCUUCCCCUGGAGACCAAGAGAAGGAGGUUCAGUGUUUUGAUUUCUGCUGUGAUUUGCUUCAAGAAUCUGUCUUCUUCUCCAUGGUUUGAUGAAAUUUCAUUUCUCGCCAGACUCCAUUUCCUUGAAAAAUGCUGUGGAAUUUCCUCACUGCACCAACCUCCCAGGGUAUUUUGGCAGCAGCUUUUCAACAUUGUUUCUCCACCUACAUCAGGUAGAUACCAAGACAAGAACUGACUGUUGCUGUUUCUAGCAUUGUCUCUCAGUACAUUGCAAAUGCAUACAUAUAUGUAUUUAUAUAUAGUUUGACAUAUGAUUUUCAGCUAUGUUAAAAGCAUUAUGGUGUAGUAGUAUGCAUCCUUCUGUUCCUGUCACUCUGUGGGGAGAAGAACAUCUAGCACACACUCUUUCUCCCAAGACAAUAACUACAGAGAUCACUUAGGAACUGCAAAAGCCCAAUAAAUGGUGAAGAACCUGUAUGUUACAGCCAUUGUGUAAGGAAGCUGCCUGUGUUCCCAGGAAGACGUCUUUGAGAACACUGGUGAAGACUGAGAGAUUGACAGGAUGAAGAUAGGGCUGUAGCACAUGGCACUGUGGAAAUUUUGGAAUUGACCCAAGCUGUUCUUGGUAGCCUAAUUUGGAGCAUCUUCUUCAGCUUUUUUGGCUCAAAAGUGAUAGAGAAUCUAUAGCUUAGAUGUUCUCAGAGCUGCUUUUAACUCCAUAGUGUUUCUCUUGUUUUUUUCAUAUACACUGUGGGAUUAUUAUUGUUCUCUGUUAUAUCAAUAAUUACAGGGAAACCCCAUUGACUGGUGAAUUCAGUAGACUUACUCUAGGCUUAGUCUGACAUCAAAGAGAGUAUUUAUUUUAUAAAACCUUUAUAAAGCCUUACCUAUCAGUAACACCUGGUGGGCUAAAUGAGGCUGAGUUUAAAACCUAUAAACUAAAACAUUUUUGGCAUAUUGAAAUUAAUUCCCUGCCAAUUAAAAUUUUCAGCAGUCAUUCAGAGGUCAUUCUUGUUGCUUCAGUGCUGUGCAGCCAAUGAUGCCCCUUGUAGAUAUUAAAUACCAAAAAUAUAUUUUGUUGACAAAGCUGACACUUCUUUUUCUCUCUCUGUUUCUUUAUUUCACUAUAGCUAACUGAAGAGAUAAAAAACAGCCGUUUCGCUGCUUUGUAAAGAAAUGUGCUUUCCUCCUGCUUGUCUGCCACAGAUUUCACCACCAGGAGGCCCUCGUUCCAGUGCUUAUAGCUAGGCAAAGAAAACACAAGGAGAGUGGAAAGAAUCAUACAAGAUUAAUCUGAAAUUAAUACUUAUCCUGUAAACUGAGAUUUUCAGAGUACUGUGCAGGCAUCUAUUAAUUAAUUAUUGCAAGUAUCCUAAUAUCCCGCUAUCAUGGAUGCCAUGACUUUUGGAGAUAAUGGAGUGUCUGUCACAGGUGGUACUCUUCAUUGAAUAGCUGAUUGAUAGCCAGGAAACUUCAUGCCUCUGUCUUCUGGAUGGAUCUUAGUAACCUAAAAAAAUAAUAAAAUGCAGUAAAGCACAGGUUAUAUUUCUAAUCCCUCAUGUGUGCCCUCUAUCACCCAACAAAUACACUUUCACCUACUUUGCCUCUGCCUUCUCUCUUUUAGUUACUUACUUAUUCAUUAGUUUUUAAUGCUUUCAUUUUUAACAGCUGGCUUUUACAGUGUCCUAAAAGUCCUGCACUAACACUCUUUCUGAUUGUUUUAUUUUGCUAACCAGACCUUUAAAGAAAGGAGGAAGGAGAAAUGUUUUUAUCCUUCUUUUUUUACCAAAUCACGUACUUCUUCCCUAUUAGUUUUUCAAAGCUGCAGUCAUUACUUUGCCUGAAAUGUAGACUUUGUUAUUCAAAAGAACACUGUGUACAUGAUCUCUUGACCAAAAAGACUGUAGAGUUGUCAUUCUUUCUUCUUUAAACCCUAUUUAUUUUCGUCUUCACUGCUGAGUCAAGCCUUGUAUAUCUGUUUCUGUGCUUACUUUCCAAGGUUAUGUUUCAGUACUGAUGAGUCCAAGACACAGCUUUGCAGUGCAAUUUCAGAAUGGAUGAUAGGUGAGAAGUUUCACUCCUGUCAGGAAAUGCAGCUCCUGCAAGCUGUAAGUUACCCUCAGUUGCAAACUGAGUUGCCCCUUGUCUUUCAGACUCAGUUCCUGCCCUCCUUCCCUGAAUUCAUACAUGCAUACAACAUAUUUAUAUCUCUAUGGCCUCUCUAACAGGUACUAGCUUGGAAAACAUGUAUCCUCUGCUCUAAGAAGCAGAAAAAGUGUAAAUGAAGCCAUGCAUGAAAAACACAAAGUUCCCAGGCCUCUGAGGAGGUUUUCCAAUCAUUGCUCACCAUUCUGGCCACACUGUUCACUUGAAAGAGUUUACACAAAUACACAGGCAGUUGAGCCACUCAACUCUGGAGAGAAUCCAUUGCUUCCUGACAGAAUUUGCCACAAGGCUGUCCUUGGAGACUGGGAGACCAAAGGUUCAGAGAACCUGUGUGGCCCACGUAGUAGUGAAUGCUUGUGUUAAGCUUUAUUUUACUCUGUUCCUAUUACCUGGCUACUCUUUGCUUGCUUCCACAUCUGUAUUUCAUUCUUUUCCUUGUCUCUUUCUUUCAUAGUCAUUUGUUUCCAUGGCUCACUUAAGAUGUCCUUUCCAGGAAAUGAUGAAAUUUUAGCCUCCAGUCAGUACAUUCCUUAUGAGCAGAUUCAGGGAAAGGGAAUACCAGGGAAAGGGUCUCUUUGUAUGGGUUGGUGUUUGAUGCUGUUGUAACCCUUCACUACGAACUGCUGGAGACAAGAUGUUUGGCCUUUGGACUGUGCUGCUGAGCUGUUUAUAAGGGAGAGCAAACAGGUCUUAUCAAAUGCAAAAAUUGGAAGUAAUGUGAUCUUUAGAUGAUGUGGAGUCUGCAACGUGACAAUGGACUGUGUGACCCAGAAAGUCCUUUUGGGUAUCUGCUGCCUGCUCAUAUGCAGAUGAUGUUGCUUUUCAGGCUUUUUAGGAAUGCAGGUGACAGCUCACCAGUGGUCUGCACUACUCCAGGAUGCCAAUUUAUAAUCUAUUCCUAUGAGGCCAGUAGUAUUUACAGCAAUAGAUGGGAGAUCUGGUUGGUUCUGGUUUCCUGUCCUAAUUCUGUGUUGUUCCCUGGGGUAGCAAAGGAUGCAAAUAUGAGACAUAUUAGGACCAGGCAGAAGGUGAUCUUGGUAGGUCAACAACUGUCAUACAAGUAGCUGCACAGCGAUGACAAGCAGUUCAGAAAAGACCAGUAAGACUGGUAGGAAUGCAGGAUAAAAAUAUAUCCACAAAUAUCUGUGGCCAGCAAGUGAAUGUGUCACAGAAGCUCAGGCUUUCAUUAAAAGUAUUCAUUGCUCUUAAGGAAAAAUUCCUUGUCUGACCAUCCAGAAGCCACUCUGCCAGCCACACUCGGACUAGAAGCCCUUUCUCAGUGGGGAACUCCAGUGACCCAGCAGAUUCCUCACUUGACUCCCUAUAUCCUCCACACUCCAAACAGUCAGACCAGGUUUCCCCACUGGCUCAAGCUGGGAUUUCCCUUAGCAGAGUCUCAAAUAUAUGGAUCCUUAAAAUAAUUUAAUCAUGGCAACAAAAAAAUAGCAGCUCGACUGGGUGCUUCUGAGAAGGGACCCCAAAGAAAGCCCUAAGUUUUUAUACCCUCCCAAUCUGUGAGUGACAAAGUCCUGGCUCUCCAGCUGAGUCCUUGGCUCUUGCUGUGUCCGUGUGUCCAGUCACCUGGCUGUGCCACAGGUCCUGUGCUCUCUGUUGUGCAAAGGGUCAGUGCCAGCUCCUGGCCUCUUGCCUGGGGCUCUCACCACCCAGAACCCAACCUGCAGCUGACACUGCAGCUGCACACCGAGCUACCUGCACUUAAUGUGCUCCUCAACACCCUGUGUCUUGUUACUAUAACUAAAAAGUUUGUUGGUUUGGGUUUGUUGGAUUUUUUUUUUUUGGUGGUUUUUUUUUGUUUUGGUUUGGUUUUUUUUUUUGUUUGUUUGUUUUUUUGUUUUUUUUGUUUUUUUUGUUUUUUGUUUUUUUCAAUCAAUUUUGUCACAUGACAUGAAACAGGAGUUAUCCUGUAACCAUUAAAAAAGACUUUCUUGAAGUCCUUGGCAGAUGUUCUAUCACCCUUAUUUCAAACACAGGCCUACAAGCACCUUUUACACUUCCUCUGCUGUUCAGGAGUUCUUAUUUAUUGCAGGUCGUCAUUCCCCAGUCAACACUCACUGCCUAUAUUGUACUUGCUAGCCAAGAUCCCAGAGCCAAAAUCCAAGAUUUCCUUGAGAAAAGAGGUAAGGGAAGAAUGUGGUACAGGGAAAAUUAUACUUAACUUUGACUUACACACCAAGUGCUUAAAUAUUGUAAAGAAUCUCAUCUUUUUAAUGGGAGGGAAGGCAUGUCAUAUUUAGAAACUGGUUCCCUGCUCACACAUCUGUGUAAUUUGAUUCAUUUUGGAAAUAAAAGCAAAUGAAAAUCUGA
This is a long non-coding RNA of Oenanthe melanoleuca, 6285 nucleotides long. RefSeq lists it as uncharacterized. NCBI's taxonomy places the organism in Eukaryota, Metazoa, Chordata, Aves, Passeriformes, Muscicapidae. The record is from RefSeq and is a predicted model, not a curated record. The transcript has 2 exons.